This is a long non-coding RNA of Lepidothrix coronata (blue-crowned manakin), 642 nucleotides long. RefSeq lists it as uncharacterized. The record is from RefSeq and is a predicted model, not a curated record. The transcript has 3 exons. NCBI's taxonomy places the organism in Eukaryota, Metazoa, Chordata, Aves, Passeriformes, Pipridae.
UAUUGAAAAAGCUGGAACUCACCAGACUUCCUGAUCCACCCAAAAAAACUCAAUCAGCCAAAACAAAACCCAAAACCAAAACUGGUGCUGCUUAAUCCAAAUUUCACCAGUGUCUGUCCCACAAGUAGAUGUAAAACUUCAGUAACUGCUAACAAAAAGUUGAAACAGAGUCUGUAUUUCACAAAUACUCUCCAAUGCAAAGUGUAGAGUUUGCAUAAUAUAUUAAAACAACAGUAUAACCAAAAUAACAGACUACACCUGGAGCAGACUGAGGAACAGUGAAUUGUCUUCUGCAAAAGCUGCAUACACAAUUAGACAGCAAGGAAAGAUGGAAAAAAACGAAUAAAAAGAGAGUACAAGAACUAUCCCCAAAGAUGGAGAAACAUUCACAUUGAAAUGUACACAGAUGGCGGAAUCAUAAAGCAAAAUAGUGAAAACUUUUACUUAGCAGGAUGAAACUGCUCCAGUUACAGCUGAAAACAAGCAACUAAAAAAGCUCUGGAAGAGAAAAAUACAACAAUUACCUACUGCUCUCCUUCACUCCCACAUGCAAACACACACAAAGUUUUGGGCAAUGAUCCAGAUCUUUAACUAGCAAAUAUGGGAAUGUUGUUUAGAAGUCCUUUUCUUACCGCCAGUGGA